CUCACCUCCUACUAGGGGAAUGAUUACAAAGACUUGCAUGCAUGUCCAAUAUGUGGGGCAUCUCGUUAUAAAACAAGCGAGAAUGUUGCUCGUAAA
Molecule: long non-coding RNA, 96 nt
Organism: Ipomoea nil (Japanese morning glory)
Lineage: Eukaryota; Viridiplantae; Streptophyta; Magnoliopsida; Solanales; Convolvulaceae
Exons: 3
Source: RefSeq, a predicted model, not a curated record